UUAAUUUAAAAUUUUAAAUAAAAUAAAAUUUAAUUAAAAAUUAAAUUAAAAUUUUAAAAAUAAAAUGGUCGCUGAUUGGUCGCUGAUUGGUCGCUAUUUAGCGACUAAUUAUUUUAGUCGCUAAAUAUGGUCGCUAAAUAUUCCCGCCCAAAAAGUUGUCGCAAUUUCGUCGCAAAUAUGGUCGCUAAUAACUCGCGCCAUUAAUUCCCGCUAAAUUAGCGACCAUUUUAU
This 231-nucleotide long non-coding RNA is filed under the name Manihot esculenta (cassava). RNAcentral describes it as "long non-coding RNA (MESC_LNC003882)". The record is from RNAcentral. Lineage: Eukaryota; Viridiplantae; Streptophyta; Magnoliopsida; Malpighiales; Euphorbiaceae.